RNAcentral lists this ribosomal RNA (429 nucleotides) under Bacillota bacterium. Its description in RNAcentral is "Firmicutes bacterium partial 16S ribosomal RNA". It matches the Rfam family "Bacterial small subunit ribosomal RNA", at positions 355 to 776 of the family's 1533-position model. Lineage: Bacteria; Bacillati; Bacillota. The record is from RNAcentral.
UAGGGAAUCUUCGGCAAUGGACGGAAGUCUGACCGAGCAACGCCGCGUGAGUGAAGAAGGUUUUCGGAUCGUAAAGCUCUGUUGUUAGAGAAGAACGUUGGUAGGAGUGGAAAAUCUACCAAGUGACGGUAACUAACCAGAAAGGGACGGCUAACUACGUGCCAGCAGCCGCGGUAAUACGUAGGUCACGAGCGUUGUCCGGAUUUAUUGGGCGUAAAGCGAGCGCAGGCGGUUCUUUAAGUCUGAAGUUAAAGGCAGUGGCUUAACCAUUGUACGCUUUGGAAACUGGAAGACUUGAGUGCAGAAGGGGAGAGUGGAAUUCCAUGUGUAUCGUUGAAAUGCGUAGAUAUAUGGAGGAACACCGGUGGCGAAAGCGGCUCUCUGAUCUGUACCUGACGCUGAGGCUCGAAAGCGUGGGGAGCAAACAGG